This 65-nucleotide transfer RNA is filed under the name Ricania marginalis. RNAcentral describes it as "tRNA-Ala". The record is from RNAcentral. RNAcentral also lists the same sequence under 1 other name. Lineage: Eukaryota; Metazoa; Arthropoda; Insecta; Hemiptera; Ricaniidae.
AGGAGUAUAGUUAAAAUAACAUCUUUUUUGCAAAAAGAAAUUAUUGAAUUAAUCAAUUUCUCUUA